RNAcentral lists this unclassified non-coding RNA (1013 nucleotides) under Dendronephthya gigantea. RNAcentral describes it as "g patch domain-containing protein 11-like, transcript variant X1". The record is from RNAcentral. Lineage: Eukaryota; Metazoa; Cnidaria; Anthozoa; Malacalcyonacea; Nephtheidae.
UAUUGGUAGGUCAAAAAAUUAGCACAAAAACCGACAGCACGAGCCUGCAAUUCCGCAGCGGCCUCGCUACUAAAAGCAAUAUGGCGGCCAAAGAAGAAGACGAUUAUAUGUCAGAUGCUUUUCUUUUGGGGCUGGAAGACACCAGACCUGGGCUUGCCUUUGGUGUAGCCGCUAGAGAGUACAAGAAAGAAGCUAAGAGAAAACAGAAAGAUGCACAGAACAAAACAAAGCCUUUGAAAGAACGAGAAAGCGAACGCAGGGAAAAGGCAUUGUCAAAUGCGAUAGAUAGUUCAAACAAAGGCUUUGCUCUCUUGGCGAAAAUGGGUUAUAAAGAAGGAAAGGGACUUGGAAAACAGGGAGAGGGUAGAAAAGAGCCUAUUCCGCUGUCAAUCAAGGAAGGUCGAGGAGGUUUGGGACAGGAAUCGGAGAUGAAACGAAAACAGGAACUUCAAGAGAAGUGUUUGAAAGUUGCACGAGAUAAACGAAUAAAACUUGAAGCGAAACAACGUGAGGACUUUAGGGAGAAACAGAAGGAAAUAUUUUCAAAUAAACUUGUCGAAAAAGAUUUGUUUCAAAGUCAAAAGGCAUGCGAACAGCUAGAUAAGGCUGAGAACAUGAGCUGCAAGGAAGUUUGGUUCUGGCCUGAAAGGUUGAAUGAAAAUGAAGAUGAUGAAAAUGAUGAAGUGUAUGAGGAAGAAGUGGAAGAAUUGGAGAGUUCAGAGAAACUUGUCAUACUUACAGAAUAUCUUAGAAGAACUCAUAAAUAUUGUAUUUGGUGUGGCACAUCUUAUACAGAUGAAGAGGACUUGGAUACGCAUUGUCCUGGAGAUACAUCGACCGCUCAUGAUUGAUGAGCAAUGACGAGAAAUUACACCUUCAGCAUUAUCAGCUAGCAAGAUCACGUGGAGUUUUACUUCAGUUCCAAUUACAACACCAUGCAGAGUUGUCGCUUUCACUGACCAAGGAGAUGUGUAUGAGAACACGGGACAUAUGGGAGUAAUGAAGAACACGGA